AUCGGGUGAUCUGGCUGCAACAUCUGUCACCUCCAUUGAUCACCAGGGUGGAUUCGGCUGAUCUGGUUGGCUAGGCGGGUGUCCCCUUCCUCCCUCACCACUUCAUUUGCGUCCCUCCUGAAGCUGCGGGCUCUGUCAAAGAGGACUGCCUUCCCCGAAUAGAGAUGGACUGGUCUUUGAGUAGCUGUGCUCCCCUGCUAGAACCUCCAAACAAGCUCUCAAAACUAGUCUCUUAUCACUGCCCCCACAUGUUCCCCCAAGAUGCUUGUCAGGAGUCAUCGUGUAUGACAGCCACACCCUAAGCUCCUGUAGACCCCAGGUCUGUUGAUUA
Molecule: unclassified non-coding RNA, 331 nt
Organism: Erinaceus europaeus (western European hedgehog)
Lineage: Eukaryota; Metazoa; Chordata; Mammalia; Eulipotyphla; Erinaceidae
Gene: 7SK
Rfam family: 7SK RNA
About the family: 7SK was discovered as an abundant small nuclear RNA in the mid-70s but a possible function has only recently been suggested.
Source: Ensembl